This is a long non-coding RNA of Podarcis muralis (Common wall lizard), 320 nucleotides long. RefSeq lists it as uncharacterized. NCBI's taxonomy places the organism in Eukaryota, Metazoa, Chordata, Lepidosauria, Squamata, Lacertidae. The record is from RefSeq and is a predicted model, not a curated record.
GUGGGCCCUCUGCCUUGCUCCCAUCCUGUUCUUCUGCUUGUUACCACUGAUGCCAGAAUGGCGCUGGCCUUGAUGGUGAAUCCUACAGACCUCCCUCUUGCUCUAAGAUUCUCAAAGUACCACUUGGAAGAACCAUUCAUUGCUCAGUCACUCAUGAGCUCACAAGGCAUACUAGCAAGACCUCAAGUGCAAGGACGAUGUCAUGGCUAUACAUAGAACAGGAAACUCUAGAAAUUGCAGCUCUAUGUCUUGGCUAGGGCUGAUUGGAGCUGUAGUAAAGAGGCUGGCAAAAGCUGCAAUAUAACCUCAAAAAAUUGGAC